Molecule: ribosomal RNA, 433 nt
Filed under: uncultured bacterium
Lineage: Bacteria
Description: partial 16S ribosomal RNA
Rfam family: Bacterial small subunit ribosomal RNA
Source: RNAcentral
AACGAACGCUGGCGGCAUGCCUAACACAUGCAAGUCGAACGAGACCUUCGGGUCUAGUGGCGCACGGGUGCGUAACGCGUGGGAACCUGCCCUUAGGUUCGGAAUAACUCCCCGAAAUGGGUGCUAAUACCGGAUAAUGUCUUCGGACCAAAGAUUUAUCGCCUUUGGAUGGGCCCGCGUUGGAUUAGCUAGUUGGUAGGGUAAAAGCCUACCAAGGCGACGAUCCAUAGCUGGUCUGAGAGGCUGAUCAGCCACACUGGGACUGAGACACGGCCCAGACUCCUACGGGAGGCAGGCGUGGGGAAUAUUGGCCAACGGGCGAAAGCCAGAUCCAGCACUGCCGCGAGAGUGAUGAAGGCCUUAGGGAUGUAAAGCUCUUUUACCCGGGAUGAUAAUGACAGUACCGGGAGAAUAAGCUCCGGCUAACUCCGUG